GUGCCAGCAGCCGCGGUAAUACGUAGGGCGCAAGCGUUGUCCGGAAUUAUUGGGCGUAAAGAGCUCGUAGGCGGCUUGUCGCGUCUGCUGUGAAAGCCCGGGGCUUAACUCCGGGUGCGCAGUGGGUACGGGCAGGCUAGAGUGCAGUAGGGGUAACUGAAUUCCUGGUGUAGAGGUGAAAUGCGCAGAUAUCAGGAGGAACACCGAUGGCGAAGGCAGGCUACUGGGCUGUUACUGACGCUGAGGAGCGAAAGCAUGGGGAGCGAACAGGAUUAGAUACCCUGGUAGUCCAUGCCGUAAACGUUGGGCACUAGGUGUGGGGGACAUUCCACGUUUUCCGCGCCGUAGCUAACGCAUUAAGUGCCCCGCCUGGGGAGUACGGCCGCAAGGCUAA
RNAcentral lists this ribosomal RNA (394 nucleotides) under Kocuria sp. 3-6/E10. RNAcentral describes it as "bacterial SSU rRNA". It matches the Rfam family "Bacterial small subunit ribosomal RNA", at positions 505 to 897 of the family's 1533-position model. Lineage: Bacteria; Bacillati; Actinomycetota; Actinomycetes; Micrococcales; Micrococcaceae. The record is from RNAcentral.